GUCUUGAUAGCUCAGUUGGUAGAGCAAUUGACUCUUAAUCAAUGGGUCGAGGGUUCGAGUCCCUCUCAGGACA
This 73-nucleotide transfer RNA is filed under the name Flavobacteriales bacterium. RNAcentral describes it as "tRNA-Lys". It matches the Rfam family "tRNA". Rfam says of the family: Transfer RNA (tRNA) molecules are approximately 80 nucleotides in length. Their secondary structure includes four short double-helical elements and three loops (D, anti-codon, and T loops). Lineage: Bacteria; Pseudomonadati; Bacteroidota; Flavobacteriia; Flavobacteriales. The record is from RNAcentral.